Phrynosoma platyrhinos (Desert horned lizard) is the source of this 74-nucleotide non-coding RNA. The record is from the annotation of a GenBank genome assembly. Lineage: Eukaryota; Metazoa; Chordata; Lepidosauria; Squamata; Phrynosomatidae.
GGUCAAGCAUGGUGUAGUGGUCUGAGUGUUGGACUGAGACUCGGAAGACUAGGGUUCGAUUCCCGGCUCGGCCA